GCGCUGGUAGUACAGUGGUUAGUAUGUCUCGUUGCCAACGAGAUGACCCGGGUUCGAGUCCCGGCCUGCGCA
Molecule: transfer RNA, 72 nt
Filed under: Nanobdellota archaeon
Lineage: Archaea; Nanobdellati; Nanobdellota
Description: tRNA-Gly
Rfam family: tRNA
About the family: Transfer RNA (tRNA) molecules are approximately 80 nucleotides in length. Their secondary structure includes four short double-helical elements and three loops (D, anti-codon, and T loops).
Source: RNAcentral